RNAcentral lists this ribosomal RNA (274 nucleotides) under uncultured bacterium. RNAcentral's name for it is "partial 16S ribosomal RNA". It matches the Rfam family "Bacterial small subunit ribosomal RNA", at positions 523 to 796 of the family's 1533-position model. The record is from RNAcentral.
CUGCGGAGGGUCCAAGCGUUAUCCGGAUUCAUUGGGUUUAAAGGGUCCGCAGGCGGGAAAAUAAGUCAGUGGUGAAAGCCUACAGCUCAACUGUAGAAGUGCCAUUGAAACUGUUUUUCUUGAGUAUAGAUGAAGUGGGCGGAAUAUAUCAUGUAGCGGUGAAAUGCAUAGAUAUGAUAUAGAACACCGAUUGCGAAGGCAGCUCACUAAACUAUUACUGACGCUCAGGGACGAAAGCGUGGGGAGCGAACAGGAUUAGAAACCCUAGUAGUCC